UGGAUAGCAGGUCUUGGCCGACUCAGUGACUAGUUACCGGCCGCGUAUUUUGACCGUGCGAAGGUAGCGCAAUCACUUGUCUUUUAAAUGAAGACCUGUAUGAAUGGUGGACACGAGGGCUUAACUGUCUCCCUUUUCAAGUCAAUGAAAUGGAUCUGCCCGUGCAGAAGCGGACAUAUAAAUACAAGACGAGAAGACCCUUUGGAGCUUAAGAUAUAAGAUCAACUAUGUUAAGAAUAACUUAAACCAAUUAAACUAAAUAGUAACUGAUCCCUAUCUUCGGUUGGGGCGACACGGGGAGAAAAUAAGCUCCCACGUGGACUGGGGGUACCCCUAAAACUAAGAAGAAGACAUCUCUAAGUCACAGAACAUCUGACCAAACAGAAUCCGGCUUAUUAAGCCGAUCAACGGGACAGUUAACCCUUAGGGAAUAACACAGGCGCAAUUCCUUCUUCCAGAGUCCAAUAUCCGACAGAGGGUUUUACGACCUCCAAUGUUGGGAUCAGGACAUCCUAAUGGUGCAGCCGGUUUAAGGGGUUACGUAUGGUUCACG
Molecule: ribosomal RNA, 553 nt
Filed under: Mystus bleekeri (Day's mystus)
Lineage: Eukaryota; Metazoa; Chordata; Actinopteri; Siluriformes; Bagridae
Description: partial 16S ribosomal RNA
Rfam family: Archaeal large subunit ribosomal RNA
Source: RNAcentral